CGCAUCUGUGCAUGCAGCAUAUCAAUAAGCGGAGGAAAAGAAACUAACAAGGAUUCCCCUAGUAACGGCGAGUGAAGCGGGAAGAGCUCAAAUUUGAAACUCUUAAAGGGUUUCCCUUUACGAAUUGUAGUUUAAAGAAGUGUUUUCUGCUGAAGUUUUGGUAAAAGUUCUUUGGAAUAGGACAUCAUAGAGGGUGAGAAUCCCGUAUUUGACCAUUAUUUUCAACUUUGUGAUACACUUUCAAAGAGUCGGAUUGUUUGGGAAUGCAGUCCAAAAUGGGUGGUAAAUUUCAUCUAAAGCUAAAUAUUGGCGAGAGACCGAUAGCGAACAAGUACCGUGAGGGAAAGAUGAAAAGAACUUUGAAAAGAGAGUUAAACAGUACGUGAAAUUGUCAAAAGGGAAGCGUUUGACACCAGUGUUGUUUUCUCUGAAAAUCAAUUAAAGAACUGGCUCUAUUUGUAAUUGCUGUAGACCUUAUAAGCUAUCUGUACAGUUUUGCGUGUCUUUUUAAUGCACUUUUCGUUUAACAAGUCAACAUCAGUUUCUUUUGUUGUAAAAGGGUCAUUGGAAGGUGGCUUUCUUUUCGGAGAAAGUGUUUAUAGCCUUUGGCCUCUGCAAUCGGAGAGACUGAGGUCUGCAGCGUAGACUCUUCGGGGUUAGAUACAUUUGUGCUAAGUUAUAGCUUUUUAUAGACAACUUGUUGACUAUAAUUAGUCUUGUAGCUUACUCGCUUAUGCUAUUUUACCUACGCUUAGGAUGUUGAUAGUCACAGCGUGUAC
RNAcentral lists this ribosomal RNA (779 nucleotides) under uncultured Neocallimastigales. RNAcentral describes it as "partial large subunit ribosomal RNA". It matches the Rfam family "Eukaryotic large subunit ribosomal RNA", at positions 26 to 629 of the family's 3401-position model. The record is from RNAcentral. Lineage: Eukaryota; Fungi; Neocallimastigomycota; Neocallimastigomycetes; Neocallimastigales.